This 1243-nucleotide ribosomal RNA is filed under the name metagenome. RNAcentral describes it as "bacterial SSU rRNA". It matches the Rfam family "Bacterial small subunit ribosomal RNA", at positions 255 to 1520 of the family's 1533-position model. The record is from RNAcentral.
AGGUAACGGCUUACCAAGGCGACGAUCAGUAGCCGGACUGAGAGGUUGAUCGGCCACAUUGGGACUGAGACACGGCCCAGACUCCUACGGGAGGCAGCAGUGGGGAAUAUUGCACAAUGAAGGAAACUCUGAUGCAGCGAUGCCGCGUGAGGGAAGAAGGUUUUAGGAUUGUAAACCUCUGUCUUCAGGGACGAAAAAAGACGGUACCUGAGGAGGAAGCUCCGGCUAACUACGUGCCAGCAGCCGCGGUAAUACGUAGGGAGCGAGCGUUGUCCGGAAUUACUGGGUGUAAAGGGAGCGUAGGCGGGAUCGCAAGUCAGAUGUGAAAACUAUGGGCUUAACCCAUAAACUGCCUUUGAAACUGUGGUUCUUGAGUGAAGUAGAGGUAAGCGGAAUUCCUAGUGUAGCGGUGAAAUGCGUAGAUAUUAGGAGGAACAUCAGUGGCGAAGGCGGCUUACUGGGCUUUAACUGACGCUGAGGCUCGAAAGCGUGGGGAGCAAACAGGAUUAGAUACCCUGGUAGUCCACGCCGUAAACGAUGAUUACUAGGUGUGGGGGGACUGACCCCUUCCGUGCCGCAGCAAACGCAAUAAGUAAUCCACCUGGGGAGUACGACCGCAAGGUUGAAACUCAAAGGAAUUGACGGGGGCCCGCACAAGCAGUGGAGUAUGUGGAUUAAUUCGAAGCAACGCGAAGAACCUUACCAGGUCUUGACAUCGUAUGCAUAGCUCAGAGAUGAGUGAAAUCUCUUCGGAGACAUAUAGACAGGUGGUGCAUGGUUGUCGUCAGCUCGUGUCGUGAGAUGUUGGGUUAAGUCCCGCAACGAGCGCAACCCUUACUGUUAGUUGCUACGCAAGAGCACUCUAGCAGGACUGCCGUUGACAAAACGGAGGAAGGUGGGGAUGACGUCAAAUCAUCAUGCCCCUUAUGACCUGGGCCUCACACGUACUACAAUGGCUGUCAACAGAGGGAAGCAAAGCCGCGAGGUGGAGCGAACCCCUAAAAGCAGUCUUAGUUCGGAUUGUAGGCUGCAACCCGCCUACAUGAAGUCGGAAUUGCUAGUAAUCGCAGAUCAGCAUGCUGCGGUGAAUACGUUCCCGGGCCUUGUACACACCGCCCGUCACGCCAUGGGAGUCGGUAACACCCGAAGCCUGUAGUCUAACCGCAAGGAGGACGCAGUCGAAGGUGGGAUUGAUGACUGGGGUGAAGUCGUAACAAGGUAGCCGUACCGGAAGGUGCGGCUG